This 200-nucleotide ribosomal RNA is filed under the name uncultured bacterium. Its description in RNAcentral is "partial 16S ribosomal RNA". It matches the Rfam family "Bacterial small subunit ribosomal RNA", at positions 30 to 239 of the family's 1533-position model. The record is from RNAcentral.
CCUGAACGCUGGCGGCGUGGCUAAGACAUGCAAGUCGCACGGACCCGCAAGGGUUAGUGGCGAACGGGUGAGUAAUGAAUCGCUAAUGUACCCCGGACUCUGGGAUAGCCGGCCGAAAGGUCGGGUAAUACCAGAUGAUAUAACUUUAUCGCAUGAUAGAGUUCUCAAAGGUCCGCCGGUCUGGGAGCAGGCGAUUUCGU